CUCUCCAAGAUUGAUUAAAUAAAAAGUGACACAAUCAUAUAGCAGAGGGGAGGAGAAGGAACGGAGAUAGAGAGACGAUUAGAGGAAUUUUAGGGAGAGUCACGGACAAAACCGUGUGAGUCGCCACAGCUCACCAGUUUUCAUACCUGUGAAACUCCAUUGCUAUAGACAAUUGAGCUCAUCUCAAAACCAAUAUCUUCGUCACUCAAAACAGCCACCAAACUCCAGAACAAAAAUAGAGUAAAAAAUGCCUAAAAUGCACCAAAAAUGCAGCCAUUAAAGUGCUGCAAAUCUUCACCUUUUAGCAGCCCGUUUUUAUCCAAAAGCAUCCCCUUAAAACUCCAUUAAAACCAACCAAAUAAAGCUCCAAAAAUUCAGGAAAAAACCGCUGCAAUCAGCACAAAAAAUAAGCCAUAAAACAUCAUAAAAAUCAAUUCCAAAACCCAAAAGAUCUCAGCCAUGGGCGCCGCCUUAAAGAUCGAAAACCCCACUUUUGAUUCUAGUUUCUAGCUUAUGGAUACUAUAGCAGUCGUUGGUCUUGCGGCGCCGAUUGAAAUGCCAUUCGAGCUCCGGUUGAUGGCCCUGUUCGCGGUCAAGUUUUGGGUGAUUCAUCGGAUUUUGUUUCAAUACCAUAGCAACAAACUAUAGCUGUUCGGGUCAUUUUAUUGGAGGUGAUCCAAAUGCAGAUUGCAAUUAUAAAGACCCAGGUAUUAUUCGUUUGUAGCUGCGCGGGCCGCUGCUGAGGAGACUCAAGGUAAACCUGUUGCUGCGUUCGCACGCUUCGAAAUCACCUUCUUAAUUUAUAUUCACACUAUUGUACUUAUUUCCAUACAAUUGUGUUUAGAAGUUUUAGCGAAACUCUGUAGAGCUUAUGACUUGUACUACCGGGUUUGGGGAAUAUGUUAUUUGUAUAAAGAUUUCAUUUUAGAAGAAUGUUAGAUGUUAAUUAUUGUUA
Long non-coding RNA from Nicotiana attenuata, 955 nucleotides. RefSeq lists it as uncharacterized. The record is from RefSeq and is a predicted model, not a curated record. The transcript is spliced from 2 exons. NCBI's taxonomy places the organism in Eukaryota, Viridiplantae, Streptophyta, Magnoliopsida, Solanales, Solanaceae.